UGGUUCCUGAAGAGAUGGUAGACUAUGGAACGUAGGCUUUAUGAUUUUUGACCUAUGUAACAUGGUCCACUAACUCUCAGUAUCCA
Molecule: microRNA precursor, 86 nt
Filed under: Myotis lucifugus (little brown bat)
Lineage: Eukaryota; Metazoa; Chordata; Mammalia; Chiroptera; Vespertilionidae
Source: RNAcentral